CAGUAUAUUUAAGCUUGGGGUUGGUUUUUUUGGAUCCGUUCUAACAAAAUUUUGUAUAUGUUUUCCUUUCUUUUUCUCCUUGCUAGAUUAUCUGUGCCUUUUCCUAUAGUUUUAUUCUAGGAGCAACUGCAGAGAAUUUGUCAGUGCAGUUGAAGGUUUUCCCAUUUGUUUACUGGAAACUUCCUUCUUAUUCUCAGGAGGUGUCACCUUCUAAGUGAUAUCACUUGGAUACUGAAACGUCUCCAUGAACUGGAAGAAUAUAUGCUUCAGUGUGAGUCCCUAGAUGAGAUCCCUGCCUGGCCAGCAAGACCCACUUUCUCCCAUGAGACCCUAAGUGGAGAACCCAGUUACAGCAUACUAGGACUCUGACCUACAGAAACUGUGAGAUAACAAAUUUG
This 398-nucleotide long non-coding RNA is filed under the name Callithrix jacchus (white-tufted-ear marmoset). RNAcentral's name for it is "lncRNA (ENSCJAG00000085993.1)". The record is from RNAcentral. Lineage: Eukaryota; Metazoa; Chordata; Mammalia; Primates; Cebidae.